GCGCGGCGGCGCGCCGCGCGUGAAUCUCCUUGUCGAGGAGGUUCACCAUGCGCAGUGUUCCGAUCGCUGUCCGCGCC
This 77-nucleotide transfer RNA is filed under the name Streptomyces nojiriensis. RNAcentral describes it as "tRNA-Asp". RNAcentral also lists the same sequence under 1 other name. The record is from RNAcentral. Lineage: Bacteria; Bacillati; Actinomycetota; Actinomycetes; Kitasatosporales; Streptomycetaceae.